UGAAAAAGGAUACUAUUCCUCUGACAAGGAUGUCAAAAGAUCGGCCCAGCUCAGGGUGCAGUAUGCACUACUAGCUCCUUGGACAGCUGUAAGAAGAGUCUCUGGCUCUUUAGAAUACUGGAUCAAUUCUGAGCUGGUUCUAUACCCCCACUGAAGAGGAAGGAUGGAUCAAUUUUAAGUGGAUUGAAGCCUGCACUAGACAGCAUCCAAAGUUUUGGUGUCUUCCUGAGUCCUGUCUUUCUUCUCAAGGACGUUCUGAGCAUGUGAAACCUGAGGACUGCAAGUAGCUCUAAGCAGCUUCACAUUCAGCAGAUCUUUCCUUUUGAGAAUCUGGAUAAACUCCAAAUAAUCUAAGAUGAUGGCUUGCAGGCCACCUGGAA
Puma concolor (puma) is the source of this 380-nucleotide non-coding RNA. NCBI's taxonomy places the organism in Eukaryota, Metazoa, Chordata, Mammalia, Carnivora, Felidae. The record is from RefSeq and is a predicted model, not a curated record.